Mercurialis annua (annual mercury) is the source of this 1060-nucleotide long non-coding RNA. RefSeq lists it as uncharacterized. Lineage: Eukaryota; Viridiplantae; Streptophyta; Magnoliopsida; Malpighiales; Euphorbiaceae. The record is from RefSeq and is a predicted model, not a curated record. The transcript is spliced from 3 exons.
GUUGGGGAGAAUGUAAUACCCCGUGUUUUCAAACUUGAUUUGUCAGUUUGGUUAUCCGUUACAAAUUGGUUGUUUUCUUGCAUUCGUUGUUAUUUUGCAUUUCAACAUUUUUCUUGUUAUGUUUCGAACUUGAUUCUGAACUUGAUUCUGAAUGGUUAUAUGUUAGAAGUAACACUUGCGAUACCUUGGUUGUGUCUUUUUGAGUGUCUUAUAUGUAUCUCAUGAUCUCGUAUGUGUUUGAUGUUGAUUCAAUUUAUUUUCGGGUAUAUAUCAAAACAGCAUUCGCAUGUUUUCCAGAACUGUCCUGUUUUAGUAAAACGUUGAUAUCUCCCAAUUGAAAUAUCGGAUCAGGCCCAUUUUUUAAUAUGUUGUUCAUAAGAGUAUAUUCUAGCAUGUGUUAAAUUUUCACGUUUUUUGGAUGCUUCUAACUCUCAAAAUGAUAAUUAAAUCGUGGUUUUUAUCAAAGCCCAUGUAAAGCCCGCAUAAGUCUAUAAGUAGACCCAUAUUUUCAUGUGAGCAGCCCCCUUUUCUUUUCCACAAACCCUAAAACGAAUAUCUUCAUAUAAAAUACACAUUUCCUUUGUUCUAACAAGCCCGGAUGCGAUUCAUUACGCUAAGAACUUGAUUUUUCAUCAUACUCGCAAGAUCUACGCGAUUUCUACGUUGUGUUCUUCGCUGGUGGCUUGUGGAUCCAAUUGAUUUCGGUCCAGCCCUUUGAACCUUGGGUUAAUACAUCAAUUAUAAUCUUGUCCAUCAUUCUUAGACCCGUCGAAUGCUCGUACUUCGGAGUCUACGCAGGGUUAGCUGUUUGCCAAGAUUUCACGUGGAUAAGCAAGCAGUUUAUGAUUUGAAAGCUGGUCCACUCCGAUUCUUGAUUCUUGGAGGUUUUUAUGUCAAUAAAACUAGUCUGUUGUUUUAAACUCUUAGACCGCAGUAGAACUAGUAUAGUGUUUGAUUAUUAUACUUUGGUUUGUCGUGGUGGUACGACUUUUAUAUUAUUAUACUUUGGCAUGUUACAUUGGAUUAUUAUAUUUGAGGCAUGAUUCACAGUUUCGGAUUA